RNAcentral lists this microRNA precursor (98 nucleotides) under Pelobates cultripes (western spadefoot toad). Lineage: Eukaryota; Metazoa; Chordata; Amphibia; Anura; Pelobatidae. The record is from RNAcentral.
AUACAGAGAGCAGCACUAUACAGGGAGCACUGACUGUCCCAAUUUAUUAUACACACAGACCUGUGUUAGAGCUCCCUGUAUAGUGCUGCUCUCUCUAU